GGAUUGUGGCUCAGUGGUAAAGCAUUUGCCUCACAUGUAUGAGGCACUGGGUUCAAUCCUCAGCACCA
RNAcentral lists this transfer RNA (68 nucleotides) under Marmota monax (woodchuck). RNAcentral describes it as "tRNA.Val". The stretch from base 5 to 65 matches the Rfam family "tRNA", at positions 6 to 65 of the family's 71-position model. Rfam says of the family: Transfer RNA (tRNA) molecules are approximately 80 nucleotides in length. Their secondary structure includes four short double-helical elements and three loops (D, anti-codon, and T loops). Further hydrogen bonds mediate the characteristic L-shaped molecular structure. tRNAs have two regions of fundamental functional importance: the anti-codon, which is responsible for specific mRNA codon recognition, and the 3' end, to which the tRNAs corresponding amino acid is attached (by aminoacyl-tRNA synthetases). tRNAs cope with the degeneracy of the genetic code in two manners: having more than one tRNA (with a specific anti-codon) for a particular amino acid; and 'wobble' base-pairing, i.e. permitting non-standard base-pairing at the 3rd anti-codon position. The record is from RNAcentral. Lineage: Eukaryota; Metazoa; Chordata; Mammalia; Rodentia; Sciuridae.